ACGGAAGGCAGCAGUGGGGAAUAUUGGGCAAUGGGCGCAAGCCUGACCCAGCAAUGCCGCGUGAAGGAAGAAGGCUUUCGGGUUGUAAACUUCUUUUAAGUGGGACGAUAAUGACGGUACCACUUGAAUAAGCUCCGGCUAACUACGUGCCAGCAGCCGCGGUAAUACGUAGGGAGCAAGCGUUAUCCGGAUUUACUGGGUGUAAGGGCGUAUAGGCGGGACAGCAAGUCAGAUGUGAAAGCACGAGGCUCAACUUCGUGUCUGCAUUUGAAACUGCUGUUCUUGAGUGCUGGAGAGGCUAACGGAACUCCUAGUGUAGCGGUGAAAUGCGCAGAUAUUAGGAAGAACACCAGUGGCGAAGGCGGUUAGCUGGACAGUAACUGACGCUGAGGCGCGAAAGCGUGGGUAGCAAACAGGAUUAGAUACCCUGGUA
This 433-nucleotide ribosomal RNA is filed under the name uncultured Oscillospiraceae bacterium. Its description in RNAcentral is "bacterial SSU rRNA". It matches the Rfam family "Bacterial small subunit ribosomal RNA", at positions 341 to 792 of the family's 1533-position model. Lineage: Bacteria; Bacillati; Bacillota; Clostridia; Eubacteriales; Oscillospiraceae. The record is from RNAcentral.